This 492-nucleotide ribosomal RNA is filed under the name uncultured bacterium. Its description in RNAcentral is "partial 16S ribosomal RNA". It matches the Rfam family "Bacterial small subunit ribosomal RNA", at positions 29 to 507 of the family's 1533-position model. The record is from RNAcentral.
AGUGAACGCUGGCGGUAGGCCUAACACAUGCAAGUCGAACGGCAGCACAGUAAGAGCUUGCUCUUACGGGUGGCGAGUGGCGGACGGGUGAGGAAUACAUCGGAAUCUACUUUUUCGUGGGGGAUAACGUAGGGAAACUUACGCUAAUACCGCAUACGACCUACGGGUGAAAGUAGGGGAUCUUCGGACCUUGCGCGAUUGAAUGAGCCGAUGUCGGAUUAGCUAGUUGGCGGGGUAAAGGCCCACCAAGGCGACGAUCCGUAGCUGGUCUGAGAGGAUGAUCAGCCACACUGGAACUGAGACACGGUCCAGACUCCUACGGGAGGCAGCAGUGGGGAAUAUUGGACAAUGGGCGCAGGCCUGAUCCAGCCAUACCGCGUGUGUGAAGAAGGCCUUCGGGUUGUAAAGCCCUUUUGUUGGGAAAGAAAAGCAGCAGGUUAAUACCCCGCUGUUCUGACGGUACCCAAAGAAUAAGCACCGGCUAACUUCGUG